RNAcentral lists this long non-coding RNA (1182 nucleotides) under Homo sapiens (human). RNAcentral's name for it is "lncAB643.2". Lineage: Eukaryota; Metazoa; Chordata; Mammalia; Primates; Hominidae. The record is from RNAcentral.
GUGAGCCAGCCAGGAGUGAAGACGACAGGUUUGCUGUCUCCUUUGCCUGUGGGUCUGGGGCCCCAGCCUGGGGGAGACCCGUGACUCCAGGCAUGCUAUCAGGACAACUUCAACCCGAGGGGAGAUCAGCUCUCCCGCAACCUGGUGCCGCUCUCUGACAGCACAACAGAACCUAAGGGGCUACAGGAUGAUUCAAGGAACAGUGUGCUACAGGACCUCGAUGGGGUCUCGCUCUGUCCUGGAGUGCAAUGGCACGAUCUUGGCUCACUGCAACCUCCGCCUCCCAGGUUCAAGCAAUUCUCCUGCCUCAGCCUCCCGAGUAGCUGGGACUACAGGCACACGCCAACACGCCAGGCUAAUUUUUUGUAUUUUUAAUAGAGAUGGAGUUUCACCAUGUUCCCCAGGCUGGUCUUGAACUCCUGAGCUCAGGCAAUCCACCUUCCUCUGCCUCCCAAAGUGCUAGGAUUACAGGCGUGAGCCACCGCGCCCGGUCUAUUUAUUUUCUUAACAGGGUAUUUUGCUAAGAAGUUUUACAUUUUGGUGAAGUCUAGUUUUUCCAUUUUUUUAUUAUGCUUAUUAUUUCUUAUGACUUCAGAUUUCCUUCCCUUCACUUAAUUAAUGGAGGUAUUGUAGUAUGAUUUCUUUUACCUUGUAUUUUGAAAUUUUACCUUUUACUCUGUGGUCCAUCUUGAAUUAUCUUUUAUGUAUGAUGUGAGGAUGUGAGAUUACUUUUCUUCAUAUGAAAAUGCAAUUUUUCCACCUUCCAUUCUUGAAGAAAUUAACUUUCCCCAUUUGACUGUUUUGGUGUAUUGGACAGUAAGUUUAAAAAUAUGUUUUAAAAAGUAUUUGCCAUGUUUAAAAAAUGUUUAGAAAGAAAGGCCACAUUCUUGUCUUUUUCCUUAUCUUAGAGGAAAAGGCUUCAACUUUUCACAUUGAGUAUGAUGUUAGCUGUUGGAUUGUCAUACAUGGAUUUUCUUGUUGGUGAACUUUUCUUCUAUACCUAAUUUGUAAUUGAUAAUAAUAAUAUAUUGUUUAUAUCAAAACAGCUAAAAAAGGGAUUUUAAAUGCUCUCACCACAAAGAAAUGAUAGUAUUUGGGUGGGAUAAAUAUGUUAAUUGACCAUAUUUGAUUAUUCCACAAUGUACAUGUAACAAAACACCACAUUGUACCCCAUAAAUAUAU